This is a long non-coding RNA of Ipomoea nil (Japanese morning glory), 470 nucleotides long. RefSeq lists it as uncharacterized. The record is from RefSeq and is a predicted model, not a curated record. The transcript has 3 exons. Lineage: Eukaryota; Viridiplantae; Streptophyta; Magnoliopsida; Solanales; Convolvulaceae.
CCAGAUUUACUUACGUGAGCAGGGACACGAUAAUGUAGUGAAUACUGGCGCCAAAACCUAUGGUGAUCGAACAAUCGUUGACGGCGGAGGAGGACGAGACGGGGAAGGUACGGAAGAAACAUAUGAGUAAUCGGAUUUGUGUAUUUAGGUGAAGCGGAUCAAGUUCCGACAAGGAACAUGAGCUUAUUUUGAAGAAUUUCAGGAAGCGAUGCUUAUUUCUCUGGCCUGCAAAGUGUUUCUCGGUAAUCUACCGUACAUAUCUAGAAGAAAAAUUUGGAGACAGUUGUUUACCUGCUGCCUGGCAAACCUGUUAUGAAUGAACAGCCCGCUAAACAGAUCAAAGCUGUCUUUUACAGUGCUCUCCUUCUGCAAGAACUGCGCGAAAUUGCCGAAUCCAAUUAUGCCAAUUUUCAAAGGUCUGGCUGAGGAAGAAGAACAAGUAGACAUGAUGAUGUUGAGCUUGAGCGUGG